GGGCCCGCACAAGCGGUGGAGCAUGUGGUUUAAUUCGAUGCAACGCGAAGAACCUUACCUACCCUUGACAUCCUCGGAAUCUGCCGGAGACGGCGGAGUGCCUUCGGGAACCGAGUGACAGGUGCUGCAUGGCUGUCGUCAGCUCGUGUUGUGAAAUGUUGGGUUAAGUCCCGUAACGAGCGCAACCCCUGUCCCUAUUUGCCAGCGAUUCGGUCGGGAACUCUAGGGAGACUGCCGGUGACAAACCGGAGGAAGGUGGGGACGACGUCAAGUCAUCAUGGCCCUUACGGGUAGGGCUACACACGUGCUACAAUGGCAGGUACAAAGGGUUGCAAGACGGCGACGUGGAGCUAAUCCCAUAAAGCCUGCCUCAGUCCGGAUCGGAGUCUGCAACUCGACUCCGUGAAGUCGGAAUCGCUAGUAAUCG
RNAcentral lists this ribosomal RNA (427 nucleotides) under uncultured bacterium. RNAcentral's name for it is "bacterial SSU rRNA". It matches the Rfam family "Bacterial small subunit ribosomal RNA", at positions 917 to 1344 of the family's 1533-position model. The record is from RNAcentral.